AUGAGAGAGGUCACCACCCUUGGAAAGAUCUGCCCGGCAGUGUUUCUUUGGGGGCAGGGGGCAGAGAGGAGCUGGCCCCCUCUUUGCUACGACCAAAAAAAAAAAUUUUUUUUUUUUUUUCUAGAAUGGCGUGCUGGAAUUUCCUCUCAGGAAGGCUGGACUUUCAGAAAUUCUCCCCUGUGCCUGGGUAUCUGCCCCGGGCAGCUCUCUUCAGUGCUCCCCCACCCCUCUCACUUCCUUUCCCCAUGGCCAGAAGAAUCUGGGCAGGUUAACUGGCUCUCCUGGCUCCACAGCCCAUACCGAGGUCUGUCUGUCUCUUACUGGAUGCACAGAUUCUCAAAUUCCUAGUAGAAAGAAUCUGGUUGGCCACCUGUGAAUAGUUCUGAACUAGGAGACAGGGAAUCAGUGAAAGGAUAAGACACAUCAAAAUGGAAAGUUUCAGUGCCAAGGAAUCACCCCUUCCUCAGUGAAAUAAGGUUUCCUGAUGUCCUUCAAG
RNAcentral lists this long non-coding RNA (496 nucleotides) under Canis lupus familiaris (dog). RNAcentral's name for it is "lncRNA (ENSCAFG00040006896.1)". The record is from RNAcentral. Lineage: Eukaryota; Metazoa; Chordata; Mammalia; Carnivora; Canidae.